This 484-nucleotide ribosomal RNA is filed under the name uncultured bacterium. Its description in RNAcentral is "partial 16S ribosomal RNA". It matches the Rfam family "Bacterial small subunit ribosomal RNA", at positions 30 to 507 of the family's 1533-position model. The record is from RNAcentral.
AUUGAACGCUGGCGGCAGGCCUAACACAUGCAAGUCGAGCGGAUGAAGGGAGCUUGCUCCUGGAUUCAGCGGCGGACGGGUGAGUAAUGCCUAGGAAUCUGCCUGGUAGUGGGGGAUAACGUCCGGAAACGGGCGCUAAUACCGCAUACGUCCUGAGGGAGAAAGUGGGGGAUCUUCGGACCUCACGCUAUCAGAUGAGCCUAGGUCGGAUUAGCUAGUUGGUGGGGUAAAGGCCUACCAAGGCGACGAUCCGUAACUGGUCUGAGAGGAUGAUCAGUCACACUGGAACUGAGACACGGUCCAGACCCCUACGGGAGGCAGCAGUGGGGAAUAUUGGACAAUGGGCGAAAGCCUGAUCCAGCCAUGCCGCGUGUGUGAAGAAGGUCUUCGGAUUGUAAGGCACUUUAAGUUGGGAGGAAGGGCAGUAAGUUAAUACCUUGCUGUUUUGACGUUACCAACAGAAUAAGCACCGGCUAACUUCGUG